CAGCGCCGCGGUAAUACGAAGGGUGCAAGCGUUAAUCGGAAUUACUGGGCGUAAAGCGUGCGUAGGCGGUUUGUUAAGUCUGUUGUGAAAUCCCCGGGCUCAACCUGGGAACUGCAUUUGUGACUGGCAAGCUAGAGUGUGCAGAGGGGGGUGGAAUUCCGCGUGUAGCAGUGAAAUGCGUAGAUAUGCGGAGGAACACCGAUGGCGAAGGCAGCCCCCUGGGCCAACACUGACGCUCAUGCACGAAAGCGUGGGGAGCAAACAGGAUUAGAUACCCCGGUAGUCCCUGUCUCUUAUACAC
RNAcentral lists this ribosomal RNA (301 nucleotides) under uncultured bacterium. Its description in RNAcentral is "partial 16S ribosomal RNA". It matches the Rfam family "Bacterial small subunit ribosomal RNA", at positions 509 to 809 of the family's 1533-position model. The record is from RNAcentral.